GUGGGGAAUCUUAGACAAUGGGGGAAACCCUGAUCUAGCCAUGCCGCGUGAGCGAUGAAGGCCUUAGGGUUGUAAAGCUCUUUCAGAUGGGAAGAUAAUGACGGUACCAUCAGAAGAAGCCCCGGCUAACUCCGUGCCAGCAGCCGCGGUAAUACGGAGGGGGCUAGCGUUGUUCGGAAUUACUGGGCGUAAAGCGCACGUAGGCGGACCAGAAAGUCAGAGGUGAAAUCCCAGGGCUCAACCUUGGAACUGCCUUUGAAACUCCUGGUCUUGAGGUCGAGAGAGGUGAGUGGAAUUCCGAGUGUAGAGGUGAAAUUCGUAGAUAUUCGGAGGAACACCAGUGGCGAAGGCGGCUCACUGGCUCGAUACUGACGCUGAGGUGCGAAAGCGUGGGGAGCAAACAGGAUUAGAUACCCGGGUAGCC
RNAcentral lists this ribosomal RNA (424 nucleotides) under uncultured bacterium. Its description in RNAcentral is "bacterial SSU rRNA". It matches the Rfam family "Bacterial small subunit ribosomal RNA", at positions 354 to 795 of the family's 1533-position model. The record is from RNAcentral.